Molecule: ribosomal RNA, 464 nt
Filed under: Vreelandella stevensii
Lineage: Bacteria; Pseudomonadati; Pseudomonadota; Gammaproteobacteria; Oceanospirillales; Halomonadaceae
Description: partial 16S ribosomal RNA
Rfam family: Bacterial small subunit ribosomal RNA
Source: RNAcentral
CCUACGGGGGCAGCAGUGGGGAAUAUUGGACAAUGGGCGAAAGCCUGAUCCAGCCAUGCCGCGUGUGUGAAGAAGGCCUUCGGGCUGUAAAGCACUUUCAGUGGGGAAGAAAGCCUUGGGGCUAAUACCCUCGAGGAAGGACAUCACCCACAGAAGAAGCACCGGCUAACUCCGUGCCAGCAGCCGCGGUAAUACGGAGGGUGCGAGCGUUAAUCGGAAUUACUGGGCGUAAAGCGCGCGUAGGCGGUCUGAUAAGCCGGUUGUGAAAGCCCCGGGCUCAACCUGGGAACGGCAUCCGGAACUGUCAGGCUAGAGUGCAGGAGAGGAAGGUAGAAUUCCCGGUGUAGCGGUGAAAUGCGUAGAGAUCGGGAGGAAUACCAGUGGCGAAGGCGGCCUUCUGGACUGACACUGACGCUGAGGUGCGAAAGCGUGGGUAGCAAACAGGAUUAGAUACCCCAGUAGUC